UGUCCUGACCUGGGAAGAGUACCUUUUAGUUGGUGGUGCCCAUCUCACAUCAGCCAGAGGCAAAGCCACCCCUUGUUUAUGCCUGCUUGGCUGCUGGCCUGUGCCCAUGCCUGGUUCAUGCCUUGGACACAUGA
This is a small nucleolar RNA of Aotus nancymaae (Ma's night monkey), 134 nucleotides long. The record is from Ensembl. Lineage: Eukaryota; Metazoa; Chordata; Mammalia; Primates; Aotidae.